AGAGUUUGAUCCUGGCUCAGAACGAACGCUGGCGGCGUGGCUAAGACAUGCAAGUCGUACGGUACGUUGUGGUUUACUAUGACGUAUAGUGGCGAACGGGUGAGUAAUGAAUAGGUAACGUGCCCCGAGCACAGGGAUACCGCCGGAAGCUUCGGCUUCCUUUGCGAAAGUGGCGUUAAUACCUGAUGACGUCUUCGAUUGGCAUCGAUCGGAGAUCAAAGGUGGGGACCUUCGGGCCUACCGGCACGGGAUCGGCCUAUUUCCUAUCAGCUUGUUGGUGGGGUAAUGGCCUACCAAGGCAGCGACGGGUAGCGGGACUGAGAGGUUGGCCCGCCACAUCGGGACUGAGACACUGCCCGGACACCUAUGGGUGGCUGCAGUAACGAAUAUUCCGCAAUGGGCGAAAGCCUGACGGAGCGACGCCGCGUGGAGGACGAAUUCCUUCGGGAUGUAAACUCCUUUUAGGGUGAAGAAAACAAUGGCCGCUAAUACCGGUCUGCGUUGAUCGAUCCCGGAAUAAGCCUGGGCUAACUCCGUGCCAGCAGCCGCGGUAAUACGGAGCAGGCAAGCGUUGUUCGGAAUCACUGGGCUUAAAGCGCGUGUAGGCGGCCUCGCAAGUACCUUGUGAAAGCCCUCGGCUCAACCGAGGAAUUGCUCGGUAUACUGCGGGGCUUGAGGCGGGUAGGGGUGCUUGGAACUCUAGGUGGAGCGGUGAAAUGCGUAGAUAUCUAGGGGAACGCCUGUGGCGAAAGCGGAGCACUGGGCCCGUCCUGACGCUGAGACGCGAAAGCGUAGGGAGCGAACGGGAUUAGAUACCCCGGUAGUCUACGCCGUAAACGAUGCGCACUAGGUUUGUAAAUGUCUGACCAUUUGCGAGCCGAAACAAAAGCGAUAAGUGCGCCGCCUGGGGAGUACGGCCGCAAGGCUAAAACUCAAAGGAAUUGACGGGGGCUCACACAAGCGGUGGAGGAUGUGGCUUAAUUCGAAUUCAACGCGAAGAACCUUACCCGGGCUUGACAUGCACGGAUUAGCCCUGUGAAAGCAGGGUGACGCGGUUUACCGUGGAACUUGCACAGGUGCUGCAUGGCUGUCGUCAGCUCGUGUCGUGAGAUGUCGGGUUAAGUCCCUUAACGAGCGAAACCCUUAUCGCUAGUUGCCAGCGGGUAAUGCCGGGCACUUUGGCGAGACUGCCGGUGUUAAACCGGAGGAA
This 1210-nucleotide ribosomal RNA is filed under the name metagenome. Its description in RNAcentral is "bacterial SSU rRNA". It matches the Rfam family "Bacterial small subunit ribosomal RNA", at positions 8 to 1171 of the family's 1533-position model. The record is from RNAcentral.